Rhodocollybia butyracea is the source of this 100-nucleotide non-coding RNA. The record is from the annotation of a GenBank genome assembly. NCBI's taxonomy places the organism in Eukaryota, Fungi, Basidiomycota, Agaricomycetes, Agaricales, Omphalotaceae.
UUCUUAGUAGCUCAAUUGGUAGAGCACAUCAAUAGUAUUUCAAUAUACUUAACGAGCCCUAUUAAUGACGAGGUUAGUCGUUCAAAUCGACUAUAAGGAA